UAGAGUUUGAUCAUGGCUCAGGAUGAACGCUGGCGGCGUGCUUAACACAUGCAAGUCGAACGAAGCACCUGAGAAUGAUUCUUCGGAUGAAGUCUCUUGUGACUGAGUGGCGGACGGGUGAGUAACGCGUGGGUAACCUGCCUCACACAGGGGGAUAACAGUUGGAAACGACCGCUAAUACCGCAUAACCCGCUGGUGCCGCAUGGCACUGACGGAAAAGAUUUUAUCGGUGUGAGAUGGACCCGCGUCUGAUUAGCCAGUUGGCAGGGUAACGGCCUACCAAAGCGACGAUCAGUAGCCGGCCUGAGAGGGUGAACGGCCACAUUGGGACUGAGACACGGCCCAGACUCCUGCGGGAGGCAGCAGUGGGGAAUAUUGCACAAUGGGGGAAACCCUGAUGCAGCGACGCCGCGUGAGUGAAGAAGUAUUUCGGUAUGUAAAGCUCUAUCAGCAGGGAAGAAAAUGACGGUACCUGACUAAGAAGCCCCGGCUAACUACGUGCCAGCAGCCGCGGUAAUACGUAGGGGGCAAGCGUUAUCCGGAUUUACUGGGUGUAAAGGGAGCGUAGACGGUGAUGCAAGUCAGAAGUGAAAGCCCGGGGCUCAACUCCGGGACUGCUUUUGAAACUGUGUGACUGGAGUGCAGGAGAGGUAAGCGGAAUUCCUGGUGUAGCGGUGAAAUGCGUAGAUAUCAGGAGGAACACCAGUGGCGAAGGCGGCUUACUGGACUGUAACUGACGUUGAGGCUCGAAAGCGUGGGGAGCAAACAGGAUUAGAUACCCUGGU
This 785-nucleotide ribosomal RNA is filed under the name uncultured bacterium. Its description in RNAcentral is "bacterial SSU rRNA". It matches the Rfam family "Bacterial small subunit ribosomal RNA", at positions 1 to 791 of the family's 1533-position model. The record is from RNAcentral.